This 3345-nucleotide ribosomal RNA is filed under the name Triticum aestivum (bread wheat). RNAcentral describes it as "partial small subunit ribosomal RNA". Lineage: Eukaryota; Viridiplantae; Streptophyta; Magnoliopsida; Poales; Poaceae. The record is from RNAcentral.
AUGGGCACGGAGGUGGUGCCCGUGGUGGACCUUGGCGCGCUGUCCCAGUCGGAGCUCGUGGCGCUCGCGGCCGCAUCGCCCUACGCCGUCGACCCCCGCCGCGGGCGCCGCGACGCCGACCUCCUCCCGCCCCCUAAGAUCGAUCGCGCCGUCUUCAACGAGAGUGCCGGCUCCCGCAAGCAGACCUUCUCCCGCCGCCGCGCCGCCACCAAUCUCCCCCACAAUCUCACCCCUACCACCGCCUCCUCCUCCGCCGUCGCCGCCCCCACCGAGGAGGAUUCCGAGAACCGCCUCAUUGUGUUCCACCUCCAGCAGCUCUUUGCGCGCGACGACCCCUCCUAUCUGCCACCACCACCGCCGAUUCCACUCCAACAGCUACCCCCUAUACCCAUACCCGCACCCACGAUACCGGUGCCCGCACCCCCCGUGGCCUCCGUGCCGAUCCAGCAGCUCCCGGACCCAGACCGGGAUUUGACGAACCCGAAGGGGGUGGCUGUUGAUUUGGCUAGACUCGCGGAGUUAGUGGAUCCGUAUGGGGAGGAGAUACGGAAUCGGACUGCAGGACUGGCUCUGGAAUCCGAGCUGCUGGGUUUCAUGAAUGAGCUGGAGGGGCAGUGGGGGAGUCGGAGGCGGCGGAGGAAGUUUGUGGAAGCAGCCAUAUUCGGUGACCACCUGCCCCGUGGGUGGAAGCUAAUCCUUGGGAUUAAACGGAAGGAGCGUGCUGCCUGGAUCAAUUGCCGCCGCUAUGUUAGCCCCAGGGGGCAUCAGUUUGCUACUUGCAGAGAAGUUUCUUCCUAUUUCAUGUCACUUCUUGGAUAUGUGGAGGCAAAGCCAACCACUGUUCAGAAUAACGAUGUGGAAGUUCGUGACUUGAGUGCUGUGAAUACUGCAGGUCUUCACCAGCAAAAUGAUUCAACUGGGGACAUGCAAAGUGCAGUGUCAGCCACUUCUGUUACAUUGCCCAUUCACAAUGGUGAUUCUCAGGGACAGAGACAAAAACCUUAUAAAGAUGAAGCUCCGAUAGAAGCAGUCAGGAAAGAGUGCAAAAAAUGCAAUUUGACUUUUGAGGACCAGAGUGCCUAUGUGCAGCAUCAGUUGUCCUUUCAUCAAAGGAAAGCUAAAAGGCGCAAGGUUGAUAAAUCUGUUGGCCUGGGAGUCGGUAAAGAUGGAAAGCUUGAGACUCAGGAAAGUCAGAGGACCUCUGAAGAUAAACCUGGCUAUUUUGACCAUGGUGUAGCUGAUGUUAAAAGUCAAGGUCAGAGUCCAGCAGAACUGUUUGGCGGAGCUUCUUCAGGAGAUGUAGGUGCUCAACUAUCCUUGGCUGCGGCACCAUGUGGGUUGCAAGAGAUAACUGGCUUACCUGAACAGGCAGAAGAGCCUUCUGCUGGUGAGCCUGUCUCUGGGCAUCAGAAGGACCUUCCUCAGGAGACUACUGGUUUACCUCAACAGGAAAAAGCACUUUCUGCUACAGAGCCUUUUGCUGGACAUCAAAAGGAACAUGUUGAUAAUUCUGGUGACCAUGAAAUCCAUGAUGGAGCAUGUCAUAUAGCUGAAGAGCCUCUUGCCUUUGAUGUUGCAAGCAACCUUGGUACUUGCAAGUCUCCUGAACCAGAAGUUCAUGAGCAUGACAGCUCAAAAGAUUUGGAAUUUUCCAUCGCAGAUUGCUCAGGAAGUUUUGACAGGUCUCAUGAAAUCUCUAAGAUACCUCAGGAUGUUCCAUGUACUACAGAUGCUCCAGGUGAAAAAAGUUGCGCAGAUGAUCCAAUGGACUGUGCUGAUAUAACACUGCCAAAACAAGUUCCUGAGCACUGUGAUAUGCUGGAUCACAAAUUUAGAGGUUUUCCUGGAGAAACUGGUUUUAAUGACCAGGUGGAAAACAAUCCACUGUCUGCCAACUUGGAUGAGCCUGAUCUUAGUUCCAACAGCAUGGAGGUAGAUAACAGCAAGAUAGCUUGCAAGUUCGGCGAUGUGCUGAAUUCUACUAGCUCUGAAUAUGAUAAACCUGUUGUGGAUCAAACUGAUCGUGGAGUGACUGCCUUGAAAAAUGAUGCAAUCAACAUUGAUGAUGGGAUGAACAUUGAUGUCAGAAUAAAGGAGGUCAACCUCAAUUCGUGCUUAGAUACAAUAUCUUCUCCUGUUUCUGGUGCAAACUGUGAAACGUCUAAUGCCCUUCAUGAUGGCAAUCGAUCGUCCAUUCUCGCCCAAUGUUUUGGUGCUAGCUCUAAUGAUGACAAUGUUUGUCAGGACGAAAGUUUUGUCAAUCAGAACAAUGUUUCUAAGGCUGAAAUUUUCGUCAAUCAGAGCAAUGACAUGGUGUAUCAAUCCAAUUUGAACAUGAAUCCUGUCUCUCCUCCUCAAAUUAGUGUGGAUUAUUUCACUAAUUGCUCAAUGAAUUCUGAAAUUAAGAACAACGACAACCGACGUGAUGAUAAUGCCAAGGAACAGUUUGUGAACUCACGGAACAUAUCAAGUAAUGAACCAGGUUUUGAUGCUGAAGCUUACAACAAUGACAUCUUCACUGGUGCUAUGGCAGAAACUAGCUUUGCUCAGCUGAAUAAUGCUAUGAAUAUGAAGACUGAUUACUCAAGCUGCUACUCAAUAUCUGAUCUAAAUACGCUGACUGGUGGUACUGGAACUGAUGGAAUUGAUUUCCACGGUAUGAGGAGUUCUUUUGUAAGUGGCUCCACCAGUCGCAGUGAACCAAAUGAACUUGAUUUUGAUAUCAAGGGUUCCAUGCUUGAGGCUCUGGAAAGAUCUGACAGCGACCUGGAAACUCAGUACAAUGGUGGCGAUCCUGCCAUUGACUCACUCCCUGCGGCAGGCACAAGUGGGACAAGUGUCGAUGAUUUUAUGUCCAUGCACACCAAUUUUGGUAGCUUGACCUCUUUGGUUCGUUCCGUUGAAGGUGGUCCAAUGAGCAGACUUAUUCAAGAUCAGUGCGAUUUGCAACUUGGAUUUGGUGCACAGAAGCAGCAAAUAUAUCCUAGUUUUGAGGAGCACCUUCGGAUGGCCUCAGCUGGAGCACCGCAGUUCGGGAACAUGGGCAGACACAAUCCCAUGCCUGUGCCUGUGCCCGUGCCCGAGCCAACACUGAUGCUAGGCUAUGAGCCAACGUUGAUGCUGGGCUAUGCACCGCAGUUCGGGAGCUGCCCUCCGGUCCAGUUAGGUUGGGACCUGUCCAAGAUGGUUGGCGUGCUCCAAUCCGUAUGUGUGUGGUGCAACACAAGGUUCCAGCAUUUUGGCACGGCUGAGCAGCAGAACGACUCUGUUGGCUUCAUUUGCCCCGCGUGCAAGGACAAGACAUCUGGUCAUCUUGGCACACUCAACAAUGGUUCAUUGCUUUAG